RNAcentral lists this ribosomal RNA (422 nucleotides) under uncultured bacterium. Its description in RNAcentral is "partial 16S ribosomal RNA". It matches the Rfam family "Bacterial small subunit ribosomal RNA", at positions 355 to 769 of the family's 1533-position model. The record is from RNAcentral.
UGGGGAAUUUUGGACAAUGGGCGCAAGCCUGAUCCAGCAAUGCCGCGUGCAGGAUGAAGGCCUUCGGGUUGUAAACUGCUUUUGUACGGAACGAAAAGCCUCUCUCUAAUACAGGGGGGUGAUGACGGUACCGUAAGAAUAGGCACCGGCUAACUACGUGCCAGCAGCCGCGGUAAUACGUAGGGUGCAAGCGUUAAUCGGAAUUACUGGGCGUAAAGCGUGCGCAGGCGGUUUUGUAAGACAGUGGUGAAAUCCCCGGGCUAACCUGGGAACUGCCAUUGUGACUGCAAGGCUGGAGUGCGGCAGAGGGGGAUGGAAUUCCGCGUGUAGCAGUGAAAUGCGUAGAUAUGCGGAGGAACACCGAUGGCGAAGGCAAUCCCCCUGGGCCUGCANUGACGCUCAUGCACGAAAGCGUGGGGAGC